AGUGAACGCUGGCGGUAGGCCUAAUACAUGCCAGUCGAACGGCAGCACAGUAAGAGCUUGCUCUUACGGGUGGCGAGUGGCGGACGGGUGAGGAGUACAUCGGAAUCUACUUUUUCGUGGGGGAUAACGUAGGGCCACUUACGCUAAUACCGCAUACGACCUACGGGUGAAAGCAGGAGAUCUUCGGACCUUGCGCGAUUGAAUGAGACGAUGUCGGAUUAGCUAGUUGGCGGGGUAAAGGCACACCAAGGCGACGAUCCGUAGCUGGUCUGAGAGGAUGAUCAGCCACACUGGAACUGAGACACGGUCCAGACUCCUACGGGAGGCAGCAGUGGGGAAUAUUGCACAAUGGGCGAAAGCCUGAUCCAGCCAUACCGCGUGAGUGAAGAAGGCCUUCGGGUUGUAAAGCCCUUUUGUUGGGAAAGAAAAGCAGCAGGUUAAUACCCCGCUGUUCUGACGGUACCCAAAGAAUAAGCAACGGCUAACUUCGUG
Molecule: ribosomal RNA, 492 nt
Filed under: uncultured bacterium
Lineage: Bacteria
Description: partial 16S ribosomal RNA
Rfam family: Bacterial small subunit ribosomal RNA
Source: RNAcentral